RNAcentral lists this long non-coding RNA (592 nucleotides) under Pongo abelii (Sumatran orangutan). Its description in RNAcentral is "lincRNA". Lineage: Eukaryota; Metazoa; Chordata; Mammalia; Primates; Hominidae. The record is from RNAcentral.
ACUCUUUGGCAGUUGCGCUGGGUACUGGCUGAGUUCUGGAAAACAGGAAUGUGAGCAGAGUGCUGCAGAUCUCCUUGUCAGGAGCACCUAAGAACUGGCAUGACUCUACACCCUCUCUCCUUCUGCAAUGGUCUCGUGUCAAGAUGGCAGACCUGCAGAGAUGAAUGUGCCUGGAUACCUGAGUCACCAGGUGGAGGAAACUCCCAUUGACCUGCAUCACACUCCACGUAUGAAACCCUUCUUUUUCUGCACUGUCACUGAGGUUAGGGAUUAUUACUCACUGCAACUUAGCCUAGCAUUAAUUUGCUUGACUAAUACAAGUUUCAAUAAAUGUUGCUCCAUUUCCCAUGGCUUCUGACUGAAUGCUGUGCAAUAUCCACAAACCAUCCAGAUGGUGGUUUAUAAAUACCACCCUUCACUAAAAGGACUCAGAGCUCCUUGGAGAAGUGGCUGAUGCUAAGGUUAUGGUAGGGAAGUACAAGGUGAGCCCAGAGUGCUGUGUGGUGCCAGAAAGCAAGGACGCAUUUAAAAAAUGGCAGGAACAUGUCAAAGGACACAUCAAUCAACUUGAAGGGGCUUCCACUGGCCAAAU